RNAcentral lists this small RNA (405 nucleotides) under Sinorhizobium meliloti 2011. Its description in RNAcentral is "putative ncRNA". Lineage: Bacteria; Pseudomonadati; Pseudomonadota; Alphaproteobacteria; Hyphomicrobiales; Rhizobiaceae. The record is from RNAcentral.
AGGGGCGCGAAGCGGGUACGAUAAUCGCUCUGCGAACGGCAGCUAUCACUGAUUAAAGCCCCAGAACCAGACCGUCAGCACAUCACCCCAUCGCGUCGACUUGAGCAGACCGUCUGCAUUUAGGGAAUCCGAGAGGCGGUCUGAACGACCGAUUUGGGGCGCGAAGCGGUCAUUUAACCUUGAGGAGAGCAAGGUCUCCUCAGGGUCGAACGUUGGCCUUCAGCGCAGCCAGAUGGCGGCGCCUCUGUUCGAAGCGUCGCCAUUGAGUACUACAAUUCAACUUGCUCAGAGAUGGCCAGGGCGUCGUCCACCUCGGUUCCGAGGUAUUGUACGGUGCUCUCCAGCUUCUUGUGGCCUAGCAAGAGCUGGACGGCGCGCAGGUUGCCUGUCUUCUUGUAGAUGUGU